This 220-nucleotide long non-coding RNA is filed under the name Lathyrus oleraceus (garden pea). RNAcentral's name for it is "Pisum sativum (pea) long non-coding RNA (PSAT_LNC019068)". Lineage: Eukaryota; Viridiplantae; Streptophyta; Magnoliopsida; Fabales; Fabaceae. The record is from RNAcentral.
AUACCACCACCGCAGAGGAUCAGAGAAAUAAUGAAUCACAAAGUGCAAUAAUGUAAUAAUGAAAUCUAUGAACGUAUAUGUAUACAUAUAUGUAUAUAUGAUGAUUAUGCUGACAAAACGAUCACAAAGGAUACAAACAUCACUGGUCUAAAUCAUCAAUACAACACCCAGACAAUCUCAACAGGAGGGAAUCAACUAGAGAAAGAGAGGUAAGGGAUGG